CUGCCUAUAAGACUGGGAUAACUUCGGGAAACCGGAGCUAAUACCGGAUACGUUCUUUUCUCGCAUGAGAGAAGAUGGAAAGACGGUUUACGCUGUCACUUAUAGAUGGGCCCGCGGCGCAUUAGCUAGUUGGUGAGGUAAUGGCUCACCAAGGCGACGAUGCGUAGCCGACCUGAGAGGGUGAUCGGCCACACUGGGACUGAGACACGGCCCAGACUCCUACGGGAGGCAGCAGUAGGGAAUCUUCCGCAAUGGACGAAAGUCUGACGGAGCAACGCCGCGUGAACGAAGAAGGCCUUCGGGUCGUAAAGUUCUGUUGUUAGGGAAGAACAAGUACCAGAGUAACUGCUGGUACCUUGACGGUACCUAACCAGAAAGCCACGGCUAACUACGUGCCAGCAGCCGCGGUAAUACGUAGGUGGCAAGCGUUGUCCGGAAUUAUUGGGCGUAAAGCGCGCGCAGGUGGUUCCUUAAGUCUGAUGUGAAAGCCCACGGCUCAACCGUGGAGGGUCAUUGGAAAACUGGGGAACUUGAGUGC
Molecule: ribosomal RNA, 538 nt
Filed under: Bacillus sp. (in: firmicutes)
Lineage: Bacteria; Bacillati; Bacillota; Bacilli; Caryophanales; Bacillaceae
Description: bacterial SSU rRNA
Rfam family: Bacterial small subunit ribosomal RNA
Source: RNAcentral